Ixodes scapularis (black-legged tick) is the source of this 338-nucleotide long non-coding RNA. RefSeq lists it as uncharacterized. The record is from RefSeq and is a predicted model, not a curated record. The transcript is spliced from 3 exons. NCBI's taxonomy places the organism in Eukaryota, Metazoa, Arthropoda, Arachnida, Ixodida, Ixodidae.
AGUAAUGCACUCUGCAGCACUCGACCCAAGUCAGGCAACCAGCUCUUCUGGUCUUUUCGCUGGCCACUGUGGUCCAGGUCAACACUCUGGUCCAAACCAUCCUGCACCUGUUUUCCGCAAGCUCACGAAAAGGCCCGAGGACGUUAUCAAGCGACUCCAGGCGAGAAUUUCCAGCUACAGAAAGGCGAUAGCCAGACUGCGGAAACAGCAGCUGAAGACGCCUCAGACAGCUUCUCAAGCUCUGGAAAUAAUUCGGCCUCAUGUUUCUGAAGAGGUAUUUCACCUCAUAUCAUCGCAUGUAAAGAAUAGGUCGAAGGGCAAGGGGAAGCGAUUUUUAC